Molecule: ribosomal RNA, 551 nt
Filed under: Listeria monocytogenes
Lineage: Bacteria; Bacillati; Bacillota; Bacilli; Caryophanales; Listeriaceae
Description: bacterial SSU rRNA
Rfam family: Bacterial small subunit ribosomal RNA
Source: RNAcentral
AUACCGAAUGAUAAAGUGUGGCGCAUGCCACGCUUUUGAAAGAUGGUUUCGGCUAUCGCUUACAGAUGGGCCCGCGGUGCAUUAGCUAGUUGGUAGGGUAAUGGCCUACCAAGGCAACGAUGCAUAGCCGACCUGAGAGGGUGAUCGGCCACACUGGGACUGAGACACGGCCCAGACUCCUACGGGAGGCAGCAGUAGGGAAUCUUCCGCAAUGGACGAAAGUCUGACGGAGCAACGCCGCGUGUAUGAAGAAGGUUUUCGGAUCGUAAAGUACUGUUGUUAGAGAAGAACAAGGAUAAGAGUAACUGCUUGUCCCUUGACGGUAUCUAACCAGAAAGCCACGGCUAACUACGUGCCAGCAGCCGCGGUAAUACGUAGGUGGCAAGCGUUGUCCGGAUUUAUUGGGCGUAAAGCGCGCGCAGGCGGUCUUUUAAGUCUGAUGUGAAAGCCCCCGGCUUAACCGGGGAGGGUCAUUGGAAACUGGAAGACUGGAGUGCAGAAGAGGAGAGUGGAAUUCCACGUGUAGCGGUGAAAUGCGUAGAUAUGUGGAG